AGUGAACGCUGGCGGUAGGCCUAACACAUGCAAGUCGAACGGCAGCACAGUAAGAGCUUGCUCUUACGGGUGGCGAGUGGCGGACGGGUGAGGAAUACAUCGGAAUCUACUUUUUCGUGGGGGAUAACGUAGGGAGACUUACGCUAAUACCGCAUACGACCUACGGGUGAAAGCAGUGGAUCUUCGGACCUUGCGCGAUUGAAUGAGCCGAUGUCGGAUUAGCUAGUUGGCGGGGUAAAGGCCCACCAAGGCGACGAUCCGUAGCUGGUCUGAGAGGAUGAUCAGCCACACUGGAACUGAGACACGGUCCAGACUCCUACGGGAGGCAGCAGUGGGGAAUAUUGGACAAUGGGCGCAAGCCUGAUCCAGCCAUACCGCGUGGGUGAAGAAGGCCUUCGGGUUGUAAAGCCCUUUUGUUGGGAAAGAAAAGCAGCAGGUUAAUACCCCGCUGUUCUGACGGUACCCAAAGAAUAAGCACCGGCUAACUUCGUG
This 492-nucleotide ribosomal RNA is filed under the name uncultured bacterium. RNAcentral describes it as "partial 16S ribosomal RNA". It matches the Rfam family "Bacterial small subunit ribosomal RNA", at positions 29 to 507 of the family's 1533-position model. The record is from RNAcentral.